ACGCACGCUGGCGGCGUGCCUAACACCUGCAAGUCGAACGAGAAAGGGGCUUCGGCUCCGAGUAAAGUGGCGCACGGGUGAGUAACACGUGGGUAACCUGCCUCUAAGAUUGGGAUAACUCGUCGAAAGAUGAGCUAAUACCGAAUAAGACCACAGUUCCCGCGGGAACAGGGGUCAAAGGUAGCCUCUGCUUGCAAGCUAUCACUUAGAGAUGGGCCUGCGCACCAUUAGCUAGUUGGUAGGGUAACGGCCUACCAAGGCAAAGAUGGUUAGCUGGUCUGAGAGGAUGAUCAGCCACACUGGAACUGAGACACGGUCCAGACUCCUACGGGAGGCAGCAGUGGGGAAUAUUGCGCAAUGGGCGAAAGCUUGACGCAGCAACGCCGCGUGAGUGAUGAAGGCCUUCGGGCCGUAAAGCUCUGUCGGGAGGAACGAAUGCUCCUGAGGUUAACAGCCUCGGGAGGUGACGGUACCUUCAAAGGAAGCACCGGCUAACUCUGUG
RNAcentral lists this ribosomal RNA (502 nucleotides) under uncultured bacterium. RNAcentral's name for it is "partial 16S ribosomal RNA". It matches the Rfam family "Bacterial small subunit ribosomal RNA", at positions 29 to 507 of the family's 1533-position model. The record is from RNAcentral.